UACGGAGGUGGCAAGCGUUGCUCGGAAUCACUGGGCGUAAAGGGCGCGUAGGCGGGGAGGUAAGUCGGGUGUGAAAUCCCUCGGCCCAACCGAGGAACUGCGCCCGAGACUGCUUCUCUUGAGUCCCGGAGAGGAAGAUGAAUUCCCGGUGUAGCGGUGAAAUGUGUAGAGAUCGGGAGGAACACCAGUGGCGCAGGCGGCUCUCUGGGUCGGCCCUGACGCUGAGGCGCGAAAGCGUGGGGAGCGAACGGG
RNAcentral lists this ribosomal RNA (252 nucleotides) under uncultured bacterium. Its description in RNAcentral is "partial 16S ribosomal RNA". It matches the Rfam family "Bacterial small subunit ribosomal RNA", at positions 524 to 776 of the family's 1533-position model. The record is from RNAcentral.